This 231-nucleotide ribosomal RNA is filed under the name uncultured bacterium. RNAcentral's name for it is "partial 16S ribosomal RNA". It matches the Rfam family "Bacterial small subunit ribosomal RNA", at positions 103 to 334 of the family's 1533-position model. The record is from RNAcentral.
CGGGUGAGUAACACGUAUCCAACCUGCCGUCUACUCUUGGACAGCCUUCUGAAAGGAAGAUUAAUACAAGAUGGCAUCAUGAGUCCACAUGUUCACAUGAUUAAAGGUAUUCCGGUAGACGAUGGGGAUGCGUUCCAUUAGAUAGUAGGCGGGGUAACGGCCCACCUAGUCUUCGAUGGAUAGGGGUUCUGAGAGGAAGAUCCCCCACAUUGGAACUGAGACACGGUCCAA